Molecule: non-coding RNA, 325 nt
Organism: Pelobates cultripes (western spadefoot toad)
Lineage: Eukaryota; Metazoa; Chordata; Amphibia; Anura; Pelobatidae
Source: the annotation of a GenBank genome assembly
AAUUAUCUGACUUUAAUUCUCCAUGUUUUUGUAUUGUAAAUAUGUAUAUAAUGGUUUUUUGUACAAAUGUAUAUUGAUAUUUGUUCUCCCACACUUUUUGGACAUAAGGGACUUUUUUCCUAUAUAUAUGGACUGAGGAGAUGGAUGAAGUUCUCUCAAAAUGUAUUAUUCCUACGCAUGGGAAUAUAUGCAUAGGCGCAGGAAGACAGAUAUAAACACAGUGGUACUACAUAUUCGUCCAACUUAGUAAUUUGAGGUAUGCGCCAUGACGUCAUAGAGGCGCGCCAAGCGGGUAGACGAACGUAAGCAUCACAUAGGCGCGACC